CAGACCAGAAAGCAAACCCUCACUGGAACCAAAUAAGCAGGCACUUUGAUCUUGGACUUCUCAGUCUCCAGAACUAUCAAAUCAGAUUGGACUGUGUACUCUGAGGAGCCACUGUUCCAGAAGUAACUCCAACUCUGUCUUCUGAAGACAAAGAACACCGUGAGUCAGCAUGUUCAGAUAGUUCUGUGGAACCAGUGUGGCACCUGCCAUAAAUUGCAACAGCCUCUGCCAAAUUCCUUGAAACAUACACAGGGCCAGGAACUCUUUCCAUUGCAUAUGGGAUGUCUUGAAGACACAGAGGAUUAAAUGAAUUUCCAGCCCUUCACUGAUGUUGUGGGGAAGACAUAUGAAAAGGUUCUAAAUUGCCCAGGCUGGCCUUGAAACUGCAGUCAUCCUGCCUCAGCUGGAUGGAUAGCUGGGAUUAUAGGCAUACACCACUACGCCCACCGAAAGUCCAAGUCUUCACAAUGGCCUAGGCUGUCAGAGCUUUUGCUAAGAGGGAACACACAACCAUACUGCUGCAAGUGAAAUCUGCAGU
Molecule: long non-coding RNA, 538 nt
Filed under: Heterocephalus glaber (naked mole-rat)
Lineage: Eukaryota; Metazoa; Chordata; Mammalia; Rodentia; Bathyergidae
Description: lncRNA (ENSHGLG00000036141.1)
Source: RNAcentral